UGUCUCCCCCCUCCAGUCAGUGAAACUGAUCUCUCCGUGAAGAAGCGGAGAUACGCAUAUAAGACGAGAAGACCCCAUGGAGCUUUAAACCCAACAACACCCGCCUCCCUUAAACCCUAUUAUCAGCCCGGCGAUUGUUUGCUUGGUUUUAGGUUGGGGUGACCACGGAGUACAAAACAUCCUCCAUGAAAAAAAGCUAACUGCCCUUAUUAGAGAAAGACAUUUCCAAAAAAUAACAAAUUAAUUUUUAAUGACCCGAUAUUCGAUCAACGAACCAAGUUACCCUGGGGAUAACAGCGCAAUCCGCCCCGAGAGCCCCUAUCGACAGGCGGGUUUACGACC
Molecule: ribosomal RNA, 342 nt
Filed under: Boophis roseipalmatus
Lineage: Eukaryota; Metazoa; Chordata; Amphibia; Anura; Mantellidae
Description: partial 16S ribosomal RNA
Rfam family: Bacterial large subunit ribosomal RNA
Source: RNAcentral